RNAcentral lists this ribosomal RNA (789 nucleotides) under uncultured archaeon. RNAcentral's name for it is "bacterial SSU rRNA". It matches the Rfam family "Archaeal small subunit ribosomal RNA", at positions 85 to 879 of the family's 1478-position model. The record is from RNAcentral.
ACUGCUCAGUAACACGUGGAUAACCUACCCUCAGGUGGGGGAUAACCCCGGGAAACUGGGGAUAAUACCCCAUAGACCAGGGACGCUGGAAUGCCCCCUGGUCGAAAGGUCCGCCGCCUGAGGAUGGGUCUGCGGCCGAUUAGGUUGUUGUUGGGGUAACGGCCCAACAAGCCUUUGAUCGGUACGGGUUGUGAGAGCAAGAGCCCGGAGAUGGAUUCUGAGACACAAAUCCAGGCCCUACGGGGCGCAGCAGGCGCGAAAACUUUACAAUGCGAGAAAUCGUGAUAAGGGAACCCCGAGUGCCCGUAAAUUCGGGCUGUCCAUCAGCGUAAAAAACUGGUGAAGAAAGGGCCGGGCAAGACCGGUGCCAGCCGCCGCGGUAAUACCGGCGGCUCGAGUGGUGGCCACUAUUACUGGGCUUAAAGCGUCCGUAGCUGGAUUGUUAAGCCUCUUGGGAAAUCCGCCGGCCUGACCGGCGGACGUUCAGGAGAAACUGGUAAUCUAGGGACCGGGAGAGGUGAGAGGUACUCCAGGGGUAGGAGUGAAAUCCUGUAAUCCUUGGGGGACCACCUGUGGCGAAGACGUCUCACUAGAACGGCUCCGACAGUGAGGGACGAAAGCUGGGGGAGCAAACCGGAUUGGAUACCCGGGUAGUCCCAGCUGUAAACGAUGCGCGUUAGGUGUAUCGGUGACCACGAGUCAUCGAGGUGCCGAAGGGGAACCGUGAAACGUGCCGCCUGGGAAGUACGGUCGCAAGGCUGAAACUUAAAGGAAUUGGCGGGGGAGCAC